RNAcentral lists this transfer RNA (76 nucleotides) under Saprospiraceae bacterium. Its description in RNAcentral is "tRNA-Phe". It matches the Rfam family "tRNA". Rfam says of the family: Transfer RNA (tRNA) molecules are approximately 80 nucleotides in length. Their secondary structure includes four short double-helical elements and three loops (D, anti-codon, and T loops). Lineage: Bacteria; Pseudomonadati; Bacteroidota; Saprospiria; Saprospirales; Saprospiraceae. The record is from RNAcentral.
GGUGCCUUAGCUCAGAUGGUAGAGCAAUGGACUGAAAAUCCAUGUGUCCCCAGUUCAAUUCUGGGAGGCACCACCA